This 1289-nucleotide ribosomal RNA is filed under the name Bacillus amyloliquefaciens. Its description in RNAcentral is "bacterial SSU rRNA". It matches the Rfam family "Bacterial small subunit ribosomal RNA", at positions 97 to 1372 of the family's 1533-position model. The record is from RNAcentral. Lineage: Bacteria; Bacillati; Bacillota; Bacilli; Caryophanales; Bacillaceae.
GGCGGACGGGUGAGUUUCACGUGGGUUUCCUGCCUGUAAGACUGGGAUAACUCCGGGAAACCGGGGCUAAUACCGGAUGCUUGUUUGAACCGCAUGGUUCAAACAUAAAAGGUGGCUUCGGCUACCACUUACAGAUGGACCCGCGGCGCAUUAGCUAGUUGGUCAGGUAACGGCUCACCAAGGCGACGAUGCGUAGCCGACCUGAGAGGGUGAUCGGCCACACUGGGACUGAGACACGGCCCAGACUCCUACGGGAGGCAGCAGUAGGGAAUCUUCCGCAAUGGACGAAAGUCUGACAAAGCAACGCCGCGUGAGUGAUGAAGGUUUUCGGAUCGUAAAGCUCUGUUGUUAGGGAAGAACAAGUGCCGUUCAAAUAGGGCGGCACCUUGACGGUACCUAACCAGAAAGCCACGGCUAACUACGUGCCAGCAGCCGCGGUAAUACGUAGGUGGCAAGCGUUGUCCGGAAUUAUUGGGCGUAAAGGGCUCGCAGGCGGUUUCUUAAGUCUGAUGUGAAAGCCCCCGGCUCAACCGGGGAGGGUCAUUGGAAACUGGGGAACUUGAGUGCAGAAGAGGAGAGUGGAAUUCCACGUGUAGCGGUGAAAUGCGUAGAGAUGUGGAGGAACACCAGUGGCGAAGGCGACUCUCUGGUCUGUAACUGACGCUGAGGAGCGAAAGCGUGGGGAGCGAACAGGAUUAGAUACCCUGGUAGUCCACGCCGUAAACGAUGAGUGCUAAGUGUUAGGGGGUUUCCGCCCCUUAGUGCUGCAGCUAACGCAUUAAGCACUCCGCCUGGGGAGUACGGUCGCAAGACUGAAACUCAAAGGAAUUGACGGGGGCCCGCACAAGCGGUGGAGCAUGUGGUUUAAUUCGAAGCAACGCGAAGAACCUUACCAGGUCUUGACAUCCUCUGACAAUCCUAGAGAUAGGACGAACCCUUCGGGGGCAGAGUGACAGGUGGUGCAUGGUUGUCGUCAGCUCGUGUCGUGAGAUGUUGGGUUAAGUCCCGCAACGAGCGCAACCCUUGAUCUUAGUUGCCAGCAUUCAGUUGGGCACUCUAAGGUGACUGCCGGUGACAAACCGGAGGAAGGUGGGGAUGACGUCAAAUCAUCAUGCCCCUUAUGACCUGGGCUACACACGUGCUACAAUGGGCAGAACAAAGGGCAGCGAAACCGCGAGGUUAAGCCAAUCCCACAAAUCUGUUCUCAGUUCGGAUCGCAGUCUGCAACUCGACUGCGUGAAGCUGGAAUCGCUAGUAAUCGCGGAUCAGCAUGCCGCGGUGAAUACGUA